AGCCAAAUGACACUGAGGUUAGUGGAACAACUCGCAACUCAAAUGGAACGUUUUGUUAUCGGUCACCAAGUUAUUGAAAAAAAAUGAACAAAGCAUAUCGACACCUGUAUCGGUGCCGCCCACGUCGUGAUUCACGCUUCCGGCUAAAGAAAAAUGCUGAAUCACUCGGCAUGCUGGUGGAACGCAACUGCAAGCCCAUUAUAAAGACUGUCCAGUUAUGUAAACACGUACACCUAUGGCGCAGGUCAGUGUUAUAGGCUGAAAAAAGAACGAAAUGAACCGUAGACAGGAAAGCUUUUGUUACAGGUUAGAGGAGAAAUCUGUGUGAUAUAGUUGAGCUAUCAUCAAAGACAGCAAUCACGUCAUUUGAAAACCAGAAAUUCCUGACACCAAUGGCCGAGAAAAACCUUGGACAUUUCUAAUCAAUGGGUUUUUUCCAAAUUUGGCGAAGAGAAGAUGACCCUUUAAUAUUCCUGUUGCUGGAAAAACAAAAGAAACCCGGAUCAAUUGAUUAAAAACAGCUGUAACCAACCACGCAAAUGUAAGGAAAAGCCAACACUACUUGAUCUCC
Molecule: long non-coding RNA, 571 nt
Organism: Daphnia carinata
Lineage: Eukaryota; Metazoa; Arthropoda; Branchiopoda; Diplostraca; Daphniidae
Exons: 3
Source: RefSeq, a predicted model, not a curated record